Molecule: long non-coding RNA, 1104 nt
Filed under: Betta splendens (Siamese fighting fish)
Lineage: Eukaryota; Metazoa; Chordata; Actinopteri; Anabantiformes; Osphronemidae
Description: lncRNA (ENSBSLG00000000517.1)
Source: RNAcentral
CUCUUAAUUUAUGGGAUGUGUCUCCGCCUGCAACAUUGCAAAAACACCUCAUAUUCAGCUUUAAUGCUGACCUUUUUUUUAAAACCCAGCUGCUACCUAACAACACUGAAACUAUGGUCCUCUGGCAUUUAAUCUACCUGCUCAAGCCCUGGCCCAUGUCUCCAAGUUCCUCUAAUGAAAGUGGCUCCACUUUACUUAGUGUGGGAGAUCUGUGGGCUUUAACAGUGGGACACUGGUUUAAAAUGACCUGCCUCCUGCAGUACAUGCUGCUUUUGUCCACCUUAACUGCUUGUGGGUGUAGGUGAAGGGCCUCUUGAUGAAGUGACUAAAGUCCCUCUUGUCCAACAAUCAGCACCCACCUUCCCACUCUGGCUUCUCGCUGACGAUGGAGCAGAAUAGAUUGCUGUCAAUGAGCGGAUGUUCUGCUUUUGUCUCCACGUGUGGGCUUCAUUACUGUUCUUUUGUGGUUUAUCGAGUCAUUCAUGGGAACUGACAAACUGAAACUACCUUUGGGUUGAGCUGUUAAUAUGUACAAGGGUUGAAGGUGGAAUUAACUUAUUAGUCACGCACUUGAUGAUUAAGACAGGAAACACUCAAAAAGAUGCAAUUUGAAUGUUCUGGGCUUUGACUCGGUCCUAGAAUUAUUAUUUCAGUUGUUGGCUUUCUGGUGACUUCAGUUAAUUCCUGAAAACACUUGACUCUGACCUUUGUGACUCCAUUUCUCUCAGAUGUUUUGCACCUCCUGAUGCUCAGGUGCAAAGGCAGCCGCCACCUUCCUGAAGCAGCGGCCGAGCUCAUUGAUCCGUCUUCAGCGAGGGAAAGCUGCCUCUGCUUCGCCUCCUUCUCCUCCCCUUGGACCCCAUCACUGCGUCUCGUCCCGUCUCAUCUCGAGGCCCACGCCUUCUCCUCAUCGCUUUUGCUUCUAGUCCUGAGCUCUGAUGAGUCACCGACCUUUGUCCAAGCCUGCAGGUGUGACACACACAAUAAUAUGUCACGACUAAAAGCACAAACACAUUAAUCACGUAAGUUACCACAACAUGUUCAGAAGAACACUUGCAACUGAAGCACACAAAACAUAAUAAUAAACAAGUAAAAAUGAAGACA